Molecule: ribosomal RNA, 446 nt
Filed under: uncultured bacterium
Lineage: Bacteria
Description: bacterial SSU rRNA
Rfam family: Bacterial small subunit ribosomal RNA
Source: RNAcentral
GACCAGACUCCUACGGGAGGCAGCAGUGGGGGAUAUUGCACAAUGGGGGGAACCCUGAUGCAGCGACGCCGCGUGGGUGAAGAAGCGCCUCGGCGCGUAAAGCCCUGUCAGCAGGGAAGAAAAUGACGGUACCUGAAGAAGAAGCCCCGGCUAACUACGUGCCAGCAGCCGCGGUAAUACGUAGGGGGCGAGCGUUAUCCGGAUUCACUGGGCGUAAAGGGAGCGCAGGCGGCACGGCAAGUCCGGUGUGAAAGCCCGGGGCCCAACCCCGGGACUGCACUGGAAACUGCCGGGCUGGAGUGUCGGAGGGGCAGGCGGAAUUCCUAGUGUAGCGGUGAAAUGCGUAGAUAUCAGGAGGAACACCGGCGGCGAAGGCGGCCUGCUGGACCGCGACUGACGUUGAGGCUCGAAAGCGUGGGGAGCGAACAGGAUUAGAUACCCCUGUA